Molecule: ribosomal RNA, 622 nt
Filed under: Irpex lacteus
Lineage: Eukaryota; Fungi; Basidiomycota; Agaricomycetes; Polyporales; Irpicaceae
Description: eukaryotic LSU rRNA
Rfam family: 5.8S ribosomal RNA (bases 199-352)
Source: RNAcentral
GCUGGCCUCUCACGAGGCAUGUGCACGCCUGGCUCAUCCACUCUUAACCUCUGUGCACUUUAUGUAAGAGAAAAAAAUGGUGGAAGCUUCCAGGAUCUCGCGAGAGGUCUUCGGUUGAACAAGCCGUUUUUCUUUCUUAUGUUUUACUACAAACGCUUCAGUUAUAGAAUGUCAACUGUGUGUAACACAUUUAUAUACAACUUUCAGCAACGGAUCUCUUGGCUCUCGCAUCGAUGAAGAACGCAGCGAAAUGCGAUAAGUAAUGUGAAUUGCAGAAUUCAGUGAAUCAUCGAAUCUUUGAACGCACCUUGCACUCCUUGGUAUUCCGAGGAGUAUGCCUGUUUGAGUCUCAUGGUAUUCUCAACCCCUAAAUUUUUGUAAUGAAGGUUUAGCGGGCUUGGACUUGGAGGUUGUGUCGGCCCUUGUCGGUCGACUCCUCUGAAAUGCAUUAGCGUGAAUCUUACGGAUCGCCUUCAGUGUGAUAAUUAUCUGCGCUGUGGUGUUGAAGUAUUUAUGGUGUUCAUGCUUCGAACCGUCUCCUUGCCGAGACAAUCAUUUGACAAUCUGAGCUCAAAUCAGGUAGGACUACCCGCUGAACUUAAGCAUAUCAAUAAGCGGAGGA